GUAAUAUGAGCUGGUGAUAGAAAUGUAAUGUGCCAUCUGGUUUGCAUUUAUCUCUGUGUAGUGGUAAAGACAGGAAGUACCAUAAAUUAAUGUACACAGAGUUUGAGGCCAAAUUAAGGGUAAAGCAUUUCUUCUUUGUAUAUUUCCAUUAUAACUUAUAACAUCAAAGAUAAAAAAAAAUAUAUGUAUAAUUAUUUUUUUAUUAUAAUAUAUAACAAAUAUUCAAGAUUUAGGCAAUUGAUAUUUAUAAUCAGGGGCAAAUUUCAAAGGGAUCACACUGUCACAAUACCCUAAGCAACCUUGAUCAACAUAUUCAAAAUUUGAACUGGACAUGAACAUGCAUACAACAAACAAAGAUGUCUUCUAUCAUGAACAAAGUAAUAUGAAUUUUACAAUGGAUUUAGAUCCAAAAGUUCCAAUUAAUUCUAUUGACACUGGAUAGUGCAUAUGAUAGCCUUCAGUUGACAUGACUCUUGGAUUUAGGAAGAUUGGUGUUUGCACAUAAUUUGGAUAACAUCUUUUGUAUUUGAAAUCAGAAAAUUCAACUUUAAAGGACAGUGAGUACAGAGAAACAGAACUAAAGGAUACACAGAUAUGUAACACAACAACCUAUAGAGGACAGAGAAAAUUUUGUUUUAUUAUUAAAUCAUACUUUUUUAAA
Long non-coding RNA from Mytilus californianus (California mussel), 661 nucleotides. RefSeq lists it as uncharacterized. The transcript has 2 exons. Lineage: Eukaryota; Metazoa; Mollusca; Bivalvia; Mytilida; Mytilidae. The record is from RefSeq and is a predicted model, not a curated record.